CAGAUCUCUGGGGGCCCCAAAAGUGCGUGGGCCCUUAGAAUCGUCCUAACUUUCCCCACCUUAGCGGCGCCCCUGCUACCGACAUUUAA
Long non-coding RNA from Sinocyclocheilus anshuiensis, 89 nucleotides. RefSeq lists it as uncharacterized. NCBI's taxonomy places the organism in Eukaryota, Metazoa, Chordata, Actinopteri, Cypriniformes, Cyprinidae. The record is from RefSeq and is a predicted model, not a curated record. The transcript has 3 exons.